RNAcentral lists this ribosomal RNA (807 nucleotides) under uncultured archaeon. RNAcentral describes it as "bacterial SSU rRNA". It matches the Rfam family "Archaeal small subunit ribosomal RNA", at positions 85 to 876 of the family's 1478-position model. The record is from RNAcentral.
ACGGCUCAGUAACACGUGGCUAACCUACCCUCAGGACGAGGACAACCCCGGGAAACUGGGACUAAUACUCGAUAGGCGAGGAGGCCUGGAAUGGUUUCUCACCUAAAAGGCUUUGGAAACAUGCUUUCAAUGUCGCCUGAGGAUGGGGCCGCGACCGAUCAGGUUGUUGGUGAGGUAAUGGCUCACCAAGCCUAUAACCGGUACGGGCCGUGAGAGCGGUAGCCCGGAGAUGGGUACUGAGACAAGGACCCAGGCCCUACGGGGCGCAGCAGUCGCGAAAACUCCGCAAUGCACGAAAGUGUGACGGGGCUACCCCGAGUGCCUUCCGCUGAGGAAAGCUUUUCCCUGGUGUAACUAGCCGGGGGAAUAAGGAGAGGGCAAGACUGGUGUCAGCCGCCGCGGUAAUACCAGCUCUCCGAGUGGUAGGGAUGAUUAUUGGGCUUAAAGCGUCCGUAGCCGGCUUAGCAAGUUUCCUGUUAAACCCAGCGACUCAAUCGUUGGAUCGCGGGAAAUACUACUAGGCUAGGAGGCGGGAGAGGUCGACGGUACUUCUGGGGUAGGGGUGAAAUCCUAUAAUCCCGGGAGGACCACCAGUGGCGGAGGCUGUCGACUAGAACGCGCUCGACGGUGAGGGACGAAAGCUGGGGGAGCGAACCGGAUUAGAUACCCGGGUAGUCCCAGCCGUAAACGAUGCGGGCUAGGUGUUGGGAUGGCUACGUGCCAUUUCAGUGCCGCAGGGAAGCCAUUAAGCCCGCCGCCUGGGGAGUACGGCCGCAAGGCUGAAACUUAAAGGAAUUGGCGGGGGAG